UAGCCACAAUGUCCCUUGAUAUUUCUGUUAU
RNAcentral lists this non-coding RNA (31 nucleotides) under Rattus norvegicus (Norway rat). The record is from RNAcentral. Lineage: Eukaryota; Metazoa; Chordata; Mammalia; Rodentia; Muridae.